This 21-nucleotide small RNA is filed under the name Arabidopsis thaliana (thale cress). Its description in RNAcentral is "AGO1_6018". Lineage: Eukaryota; Viridiplantae; Streptophyta; Magnoliopsida; Brassicales; Brassicaceae. The record is from RNAcentral.
UGGCAGAGUGGCCUUGCUGCC